UACAGAGGUCUCAAGCGUUGUUCGGAUUCAUUGGGCGUAAAGGGUGCGUAGGCGGCGCGGUAAGUCGGGUGUGAAAUCUCGGGGCUUAACUCCGAAACUGCAUUCGAUACUGCCGUGCUUGAGGACUGGAGAGGAGACUGGAAUUUACGGUGUAGCGGUGAAAUGCGUAGAUAUCGUAAGGAAGACCAGUGGCGAAGGCGGGUCUCUGGCAAGUUCCUGACGCUGAGGCACGAAGGUCAGGGGAG
RNAcentral lists this ribosomal RNA (245 nucleotides) under uncultured bacterium. Its description in RNAcentral is "partial 16S ribosomal RNA". It matches the Rfam family "Bacterial small subunit ribosomal RNA", at positions 524 to 768 of the family's 1533-position model. The record is from RNAcentral.